GACGAACGCUGGCGGCAUGCCUAACACAUGCAAGUCGAACGAGACCUUCGGGUCUAGUGGCGCACGGGUGCGUAACGCGUGGGAACCUGCCCUUAGGUUCGGAAUAACUCCCCGAAAGGGGUGCUAAUACCGGAUAAUGUCUUCGGACCAACGAUUUAUCGCCUUUGGGUGGGCCCGCGUUGGAUUAGCUAGUUGGUAGGGUAAUAGCAUACCAAGGCGACGAUGCAUAGCUGGUGUGAGAGGAUGAUCAGCCACAAUGGGAAUGAGACACGGCCCAGACUGCGACGGAAGGGAGCAGAGGAGAAUAUUGGAGACUGGGGGAAAGCCUGACAAAGCAGCGCCGGGUGAGUGAUGAAGGGGGUAGGGUUGCAAAGCUCUUUUACACGGGAUGAUAAUGACAGUACCGGGAGAAUAAGCUCCGGCUAACUACGUG
RNAcentral lists this ribosomal RNA (433 nucleotides) under uncultured bacterium. RNAcentral's name for it is "partial 16S ribosomal RNA". It matches the Rfam family "Bacterial small subunit ribosomal RNA", at positions 28 to 507 of the family's 1533-position model. The record is from RNAcentral.